UACGUAGGGUGCGAGCGUUAAUCGGAGUUACUGGGCGUAAAGCGUGCGCAGGCGGUUUUGUAAGACAGUUGUGAAAUCCCCGGGCUCAACCUGGGAACUGCAUCUGUGACUGCAUAGCUAGAGUACGGUAGAGGGGGAUGGAAUUCCGCGUGUAGCAGUGAAAUGCGUAGAUAUGCGGAGGAACACCGAUGGCGAAGGCAAUCCCCUGGACCUGUACUGACGCUCAUGCACGAAAGCGUGGGGAGCAAACAGG
RNAcentral lists this ribosomal RNA (253 nucleotides) under uncultured bacterium. Its description in RNAcentral is "partial 16S ribosomal RNA". It matches the Rfam family "Bacterial small subunit ribosomal RNA", at positions 524 to 776 of the family's 1533-position model. The record is from RNAcentral.